Molecule: long non-coding RNA, 1184 nt
Filed under: Gallus gallus (chicken)
Lineage: Eukaryota; Metazoa; Chordata; Aves; Galliformes; Phasianidae
Description: lncRNA (ENSGALG00010018575.1)
Source: RNAcentral
UGAGGCCUGCUCAGGCUGGGAACAGCCGAAGGCCUGACUGUGGUGGGAACACCCCACGGCCUGCCCAGGAUGGGGGGACCCAAAAGCCUGGCCGUGGUGGAGAUGUGGUGGGGUUACCUGAGGGUCUGGAUGUGUUAGGGCCGUUCUGUGGCCUGCCCAGGCUGGGGACACUGUGGGGACACCCAAAGGCCUGCCCAGGCUGGGGCUGUGGUGCUGCCGCCCCGGGCCCUGGGUGUGUUAGGGCUGCUUUGAGGCCUGCCCGGGCUGGGGACACCCCAAGGCCUGUCCACGAUGGGGGGACCCAAAGGCCUGGCCAUGCUGGGGAUGUGGUGGGGCUACCUGAGGGUCUGGGUGCGUUAGGGCUGUUCUGUGGCCUGCCAGGGCUGGGGACAGCCCAAGGCCUGACCUGGGGACAGCCCAGGGCCUACCCAGGAUGGGGGGACCCAAAGGCCUGGCCGUGCUGGGGAUGCGGCGGGGCUGCUUUGAGGCCUGCUCAAGCUGGGGACACCCCAAAGCCUGACUGUGGUGGGGACACCUCACGGCCUGACAUGGGGACAGCCCACGGCCUGCCCAGGAUGGGGGGACCCAAAGGCCUGGCCGUGGUGGAGAUGUGGUGGGGCUACCUGAGGGUCUAGAUGUGUUAGGGCCAUUCUGUGACCUGCCCAGGCUGGGGACGCCCCAAGGCCUGACUAUGUUGGGGACACCGUGGGGACACCCAAAGGCCUUUCUAGGCUGGGGAUGCACUGGGGGUGCCCGAAGGCCUGGCUGCCCUGGGGACAUGGUGGGGCCACCCCAGGACCUAGACGUAUUAGGGCCACUCUAUGGCCUACCCAGGCUGGGGACACCCCGAGGCCCGGCCAUGCUGGGACACCCCAGUGCGUUAGGAUGCGUUAGGGCCAUCCUAAAGCCUGGUGACACUGAGGAUGCCCAACGGCCUGGCCGUGUUUGGAACGUGGAAGGACACCCCAAGGCCUGGCCGUGCUGAGGACGUGGGGGUCUCAGGGGCCGGGCCGUCCCCACAGCCAGCAGGUGCUGCAUCCCCAGCUUUAUCCUGUCGUGUGCCCUGGCAGCGGGGUCAGGCGUGGCGGCCAUUUGGGGUGACAGCAGGGCUGGCUGGGCACGCUGCCACCCUCACGGUCCCAUCUCAUUCUCCCCUCCCGUGCCGUGUUAGAGGGGCAGGGCAG